UAGUUUCAUUCGCAGCGAAAGAAUACGAAGACUUCAAACUGUUUCAUAGAGACGCACACGUACACUACAAAGCCACACAUACGAACAUGAAGUAUUCUCACCGGACACUUGUAAUCUGCUAGAGCGAGCUGAAGCCCUUUCUCCUGUGCAUUUAAAAUGGAACCGAAGGCAGCUUGCUUUCAAGCCACAGACACUAUUUACCUCCUCUGAAGCUCAGAGUAGUUGAGCUGUGAAUGAUAACCUGCGGAUGCGGAAAUGACUGCAGACUGGCAGACGUGGAUCAGCAAGGGGCCUAAUACCAGCACCUCUGAAAUGCUGGCCUAGAGGGUACUGUGAACAUGGCACUCCCUUGUCUGGUAGACCAUUAGCCCUUUUGUGUGCUGCCCACUCUCCCUGAACCCUACCCUGCCCUCCUUUCUCCUGGGUGCUUCUGCUUUCCUCUGCCUUUCUGUCUCUGUAGGAUUUGUACCGCACACUCAUGUCCUGGCGACAUUCUUCACACCCCGACCCUAAAGAGGAUAUUUAACCUA
Molecule: long non-coding RNA, 530 nt
Filed under: Rattus norvegicus (Norway rat)
Lineage: Eukaryota; Metazoa; Chordata; Mammalia; Rodentia; Muridae
Description: long non-coding RNA NONRATT009329
Source: RNAcentral